RNAcentral lists this ribosomal RNA (254 nucleotides) under uncultured bacterium. RNAcentral describes it as "partial 16S ribosomal RNA". It matches the Rfam family "Bacterial small subunit ribosomal RNA", at positions 524 to 776 of the family's 1533-position model. The record is from RNAcentral.
UACGGGGGGGAGCAAGCGUUGUUCGGAUUCAUUGGGCGUAAAGGGUGCGUAGGCGGCGCGGUAAGUCGGGUGUGAAAUCUCGGAGCUUAACUCCGAAACUGCAUUCGAUACUGCCGUGCUUGAGGACUGGAGAGGAGACUGGAAUUUACGGUGUAGCGGUGAAAUGCGUAGAUAUCGUAAGGAAGACCAGUGGCGAAGGCGGGUCUCUGGACAGUUCCUGACGCUGAGGCACGAAGGUCAGGGGAGCAAACGGG